CCUACGGGUGGCAGCAGUGGGGAAUAUUGCACAAUGGGGGAAACCCUGAUGCAGCGACGCCGCGUGAGUGAAGAAGUAUUUCGGUACGUAAAGCUCUAUCAGCAGGGAACAAAAUGACGGUCCCUUACUAAGAAGCCCCUGCUAACUACGUGCCAGCAGCCGCGGUAAUACGUAGGGGGCACGCGUUUUCGGUAUUUACUGGGUGUAAGGGGAGUGUUGACGGCAGCGCAAGUCUGAAGUGAAGUCCCAUGGCAUAACCAUGGAGCUGCUUUGGAAACUGUGCAGCUGGAGGCCAGAGCGGUAAGAGGAAUUGCUGGUGUAGCGGUGAAAUGCGUAGAUAUUAGGAGGAACACCAGUGGCGAAGGCGGCUUACUGAACUGUAAUUGACGUUGAGGCACGAAAGCGUGGGGAGCAAACAGGAUUAGAUACCCCAGUAGUC
RNAcentral lists this ribosomal RNA (439 nucleotides) under uncultured bacterium. Its description in RNAcentral is "partial 16S ribosomal RNA". It matches the Rfam family "Bacterial small subunit ribosomal RNA", at positions 338 to 795 of the family's 1533-position model. The record is from RNAcentral.